Molecule: long non-coding RNA, 240 nt
Organism: Peromyscus eremicus (cactus mouse)
Lineage: Eukaryota; Metazoa; Chordata; Mammalia; Rodentia; Cricetidae
Exons: 3
Source: RefSeq, a predicted model, not a curated record
AUGGUUGAAAAAGAAGGGUAUCUUCAAAAAGCCAAAAUUGCAGAUGGAGGAAAGAAACUAAGGAAAAACUGGUCUACUUCCUGGAUUGUUCUUUCUGGUCAAAAAAUUGAAUUUUACAAAGACUCCAAGCAGCAAGCUCUUCCAAACACGAAAGCCAGGCACAAAGCAGAAAGUGUGGAUUUGUGUGGUGCACAGAUAGAAUGGGCCAAGGAAAAAUCAAGCAGAAAGAGUGUCUUUCAG